This is a long non-coding RNA of Brienomyrus brachyistius, 882 nucleotides long. RefSeq lists it as uncharacterized. The record is from RefSeq and is a predicted model, not a curated record. NCBI's taxonomy places the organism in Eukaryota, Metazoa, Chordata, Actinopteri, Osteoglossiformes, Mormyridae. The transcript is spliced from 3 exons.
ACGCCCUGCAGGAACACAGAGCUCAUCAGAUGGCGGCAUCGAGAGCUAAUGUGUGAGCGAUGGUUCAAGGGCACCACAAACACAGCGUCAAACGGGCCUACCUAAAGCGUUACACACCUGGCUGCUUGGCAUCGUUGGGUUUCAGGCAACGCACGUACCACGGCUCCUUGGACAUGAGGAUUUCUGUCAGGCCCAUCAAGCUGCUCUUGAACUGAGUGGCUACCUACAAGUCAAUAAGAGAGGGUUGCUCCACCCCCUGUGUCCAGGCAGGGUGUGCUCACCAAGACGGAGAUUAUCCCAUGGUGUUUCUCCUCCACCAGGUCACAGAUAAUCUUGUUGUUGAAGAACGGAACAGGCUCCCACUGCAAUCAACAUGGACAACAUAGAGAACAUAGACUUUAAACAGACUCAACGACCAAGACACCACACAAUGACUCUCUGCAGCAGACAGGAUGCAGCACUGGGUAAACAUAAAGAGCCAUGUGAAAGUGCGGCCAUAGAUUGCUUUAGCCAAAGCAUUUCUGGCAUAGACUGCAUGGUCCACUGUGAAAGGGCUGAGGACCUGGAAACCACAAGGGACAGGAUUGACUAUUUUUUUGUCGGACCCAGGGACUGUAAGUGAUCGACUAGCUCUCUGUCUGCACAGCAUGACAUCAGUAGACUGGCUUUGACAAACUAACUUGGAUGACUUGUAUUUUUAAGCAUUCAAACUUGUACUGAAGCAAUUCACGGUAACUGACACUACACAAUAAUGGGUGAUACUCAUUAUAAAUAUAGUGCUUCUGAAUAUGUACAAUGAACUGGUGCUUUUUGAUAUAUUAUUUCUGUAUUUGGUGAUCAGACUCAUCAAACAAACACCAGAUGGACUGAAAAGGUAGCAUU